This 254-nucleotide ribosomal RNA is filed under the name uncultured bacterium. Its description in RNAcentral is "partial 16S ribosomal RNA". It matches the Rfam family "Bacterial small subunit ribosomal RNA", at positions 524 to 777 of the family's 1533-position model. The record is from RNAcentral.
GACGGAGGAUGCAAGUGUUAUCCGGAAUCACUGGGCGUAAAGCGUCUGUAGGUGGUUUAAUAAGUCAACUGUUAAAUCUUGAGGCUCAACCUCAAAAUCGCAGUCGAAACUAUUAGGCUAGAGUAUAGUAGGGGUAAAGGGAAUUUCCAGUGGAGCGGUGAAAUGCGUAGAGAUUGGAAAGAACACCGGUGGCGAAGGCACUUUACUGGGCUAUUACUAACACUCAGAGACGAAAGCUAGGGUAGCAAAUGGGG